Molecule: ribosomal RNA, 433 nt
Filed under: uncultured bacterium
Lineage: Bacteria
Description: partial 16S ribosomal RNA
Rfam family: Bacterial small subunit ribosomal RNA
Source: RNAcentral
AGCGAACGCUGGCGGCAGGCCUAACACAUGCAAGUCGAACGAACUCUUCGGAGUUAGCGGCCGACGGGGGUGUAACACGUGGGAACGUGCCCUUUUGGUCGGAAUAACUCAGGGAAACUUGUGCUAAUACCGAAUGUGCCCUUCGGGGGAAAGAUUUAUCGCCAUUAGAGCGGCCCGCGUCUGAUUAGCUAGUUGGUGAGGUAACGGCUCACUAAGGCGACGAUUAGUAGCUGGGUUGAGAGGCUGGCCAGCCACACUGGGACUGAGAACCGGCCCAGAAUCCUACGGGAGGCAGCAGUGGGGAAUCUUGCGCAAUGGGCGAAAGCCUGACGCAGCCAUGCCGCGUGAAUGAUGAAGGUCUUAGGAUUGUAAAAUUCUUUCACCGGGGACGAUAAUGACGGUACCCGGAGAAGAAGCCCCGGCUAACUUCGUG